CGCCUCUUGCUCAUUUAUAAGAGGUCCAGCCUGCCCAGUGACUUAUAUUCAACGGCCGCGGUAUCCUAACCGUGCAAAGGUAGCGUAAUCACUUGUCCCUUAAAUAGAGACCUGUAUCAACGGCAUCACGAAGGUUAUACUGUCUCCCCACUCCAAUCAGUGAAACUGAUCUUCCCGUGAAAAAGCGGGAAUAUUUUUAUAAGACGAGAAGACCCCAUGGAGCUUUAAGCCCAGCAGCAAUCUCAUAUCUAUAAUUCUUCAAACUUCAAGAGAACCUGCCCGCUGGCUUUAGGUUGGGGCGACCACGAAGUACAAUACAACCUUCAUGACAAAUGGAAUUUUUUCCUUAUCUUAGAGCUACCACUCCAAGAAUUAAUAACUUAAUGUAAUAUGAUCCGAUUUAUUCGAUCAACGGACCAAGUUACCCUGGGGAUAACAGCGCAAUCCACUUCAAGAGUUCCUAUCGACAAGUGGGUUUACGACCUCGAUGUUGGAUCAGGGUAUCCUAGUGGUGCAGCCGCUACUAACGGUUCGUUUGUUCAACGAUUAAAACCCU
RNAcentral lists this ribosomal RNA (556 nucleotides) under Arthroleptides martiensseni (Usambara torrent frog). RNAcentral's name for it is "Petropedetes martiensseni (Usambara torrent frog) partial 16S ribosomal RNA". It matches the Rfam family "Bacterial large subunit ribosomal RNA", at positions 1830 to 2597 of the family's 2925-position model. The record is from RNAcentral. Lineage: Eukaryota; Metazoa; Chordata; Amphibia; Anura; Petropedetidae.